Molecule: ribosomal RNA, 501 nt
Filed under: uncultured bacterium
Lineage: Bacteria
Description: partial 16S ribosomal RNA
Rfam family: Bacterial small subunit ribosomal RNA
Source: RNAcentral
AUUGAACGCUGGCGGCAGGCUUAACACAUGCAAGUCGAGCGGGGGGAGGUAGCUUGCUACCGGACCUAGCGGCGGACGGGAGAGUAAUGCUUAGGAAUCUGCCUAUUAGUGGGGGACAACAUCUCGAAAGGGAUGCUAAUACCGCAUACGUCCUACGGGAGAAAGCAGGGGAUCUUCGGACCUUGCGCUAAUAGAUGAGCCUAAGUCGGAUUAGCUAGUUGGUGGGGUAAAGGCCUACCAAGGCGACGAUCUGUGGCGGGUCUGAGAGGAUGGUCCGCCACAAUGGGACUGGGACACGGCCCAGACUCCUACGGGAGGCAGCAGUGGGGAAUAUUGGACAAUGGGGGGAACCCUGAUCCAGCCAUGCCGCGUGUGUGAAGAAGGCCUUAUGGCUGUAAAGCACUUUAAGCGAGGAGGAGGCUACUUUAGUUAAUACCUAGAGAUAGUGGACGUUACUCGCAGAAUAAGCACCGGCUAACUCUGUGCCAGCCGCCGCGGUAA